Molecule: ribosomal RNA, 433 nt
Filed under: uncultured bacterium
Lineage: Bacteria
Description: partial 16S ribosomal RNA
Rfam family: Bacterial small subunit ribosomal RNA
Source: RNAcentral
AACGAACGCUGGCGGCAUGCCUAACACAUGCGAGUCGAACGAGACCUUCGGGUCUAGUGGCGCACGGGUGCGUAACGCGUGGGAACCUGCCCUUAGGUUCGGAAUAACUCCCCGAAAGGGGUGCUAAUACCGGAUAAUGUCUUCGGACCAAAGAUUUAUCGCCUUUGGAUGGGCCCGCGUUGGAUUAGCUAGUUGGUAGGGUAAAAGCCUACCAAGGCGACGAUCCAUAGCUGGUCUGAGAGGAUGAUCAGCCACACUGGGACUGAGACACGGCCCAGACUCCUACGGGAGGGAGCAGUGGGGAAUAUUGGACAAGGGGCGAAAGCCUGAUACAGCAAUGCCGCGUGAGUGAUGAAGGCCUUAGGGUUGUAAAGCUCUUUUACCCGGGAUGAUAAUGACAGUACCGGGAGAAUAAGCACCGGCUAACUCCGUG